CAGGGUGUGGCAGCACACAGGGCAUGCAGAGGUAGGGGUGAAAACAUUCACCACCCAAAAGGUGCAAACUGUAUGACUGUAAACAGUGGGCAUGCUAAGAC
Sapajus apella (tufted capuchin) is the source of this 101-nucleotide long non-coding RNA. RefSeq lists it as uncharacterized. The transcript has 3 exons. Lineage: Eukaryota; Metazoa; Chordata; Mammalia; Primates; Cebidae. The record is from RefSeq and is a predicted model, not a curated record.